UACGUAGGGGGCGAGCGUUGUCCGGAUUUAUUGGGCGUAAAGGGCUUGUAGGCGGCCACGUCAAGCCGGAUGUGAAAUCUCCCGGCUCAACUGGGAGGGGUCAUUUGAUACUGGCAUUCUCGAGUCCGGAAGAGGUGAGUGGAAUUCCGAGUGUAGAGGUGAAAUUCGUAGAUAUUCGGAGGAACACCAGUGGCGAAGGCGGCUCACUGGUCCGGUACUGACGCUGAGGUGCGAAAGCGUGGGGAGCAAACAGG
This 254-nucleotide ribosomal RNA is filed under the name uncultured bacterium. RNAcentral describes it as "partial 16S ribosomal RNA". It matches the Rfam family "Bacterial small subunit ribosomal RNA", at positions 524 to 776 of the family's 1533-position model. The record is from RNAcentral.